GACGAACGCUGGCGGCGUGCUUAACACAUGCAAGUCGAACGGAAAGGCCCCUUUGGGGGUACUCGAGUGGCGAACGGGUGAGUAACACGUGAGUAACCUGCCCUUGACUUCGGGAUAACUUCAGGAAACUGGGGCUAAUACCGGAUAGGAAUCCUUGCUGCAUGGUGGGGGUUGGAAAGCUUCGGCGGUUUUGGAUGGACUCGCGGCUUAUCAGCUUGUUGGUGGGGUAGUGGCUUGCCAAGGCUUUGACGGGUAGCCGGCCUGAGAGGGCGACCGGCCACAUUGGGACUGAGAUACGGCCCAGACUCCUACGGGAGGCAGCAGUGGGGAAUAUUGCACAAUGGGCGGAAGCCUGAUGCAGCAACGCCGCGUGCGGGAUGACGGCCUUCGGGUUGUAAACCGCUUUCAGCAGGGGCGAAGCUUGUGGUGACGGUACCUGCAGAAGAAGCACCGGCUAACUACGUG
This 465-nucleotide ribosomal RNA is filed under the name uncultured bacterium. RNAcentral describes it as "partial 16S ribosomal RNA". It matches the Rfam family "Bacterial small subunit ribosomal RNA", at positions 28 to 507 of the family's 1533-position model. The record is from RNAcentral.